UGCAAGUCGAACGGGAAAUAUUUCAUUGAGACUUCGGUGGAUUUGAUCUAUUUCUAGUGGCGGACGGGUGAGUAACGCGUGGGUAACCUGCCUUAUACAGGGGGAUAACAGUCAGAAAUGGCUGCUAAUACCGCAUAAGCGCACAGGACCGCAUGGUCCGGUGUGAAAAACUCCGGUGGUAUAAGAUGGACCUGCGUUGGAUUAGCUUGUUGGUGGGGUAACGGCCCACCAAGGCGACGAUCCAUAGCCGGCCUGAGAGGGUGAACGGCCACAUUGGGACUGAGACACGGCCCAGACUCCUACGGGAGGCAGCAGUGGGGAAUAUUGCACAAUGGGGGAAACCCUGAUGCAGCGACGCCGCGUGAAGGAAGAAGUAUCUCGGUAUGUAAACUUCUAUCAGCAGGGAAGAUAGUGACGGUACCUGACUAAGAAGCCCCGGCUAACUACGUGCCAGCAGCCGCGGUAAUACGUAGGGGGCAAGCGUUAUCCGGAUUUACUGGGUGUAAAGGGAGCGUAGACGGUGUGGCAAGUCUGAUGUGAAAGGCAUGGGCUCAACCUGUGGACUGCAUUGGAAACUGUCAUACUUGAGUGCCGGAGGGGUAAGCGGAAUUCCUAGUGUAGCGGUGAAAUGCGUAGAUAUUAGGAGGAACACCAGUGGCGAAGGCGGCUUACUGGACGGUAACUGACGUUGAGGCUCGAAA
Molecule: ribosomal RNA, 701 nt
Filed under: uncultured bacterium
Lineage: Bacteria
Description: bacterial SSU rRNA
Rfam family: Bacterial small subunit ribosomal RNA
Source: RNAcentral